RNAcentral lists this long non-coding RNA (1263 nucleotides) under Carica papaya (papaya). Its description in RNAcentral is "long non-coding RNA (CPAP_LNC003746)". Lineage: Eukaryota; Viridiplantae; Streptophyta; Magnoliopsida; Brassicales; Caricaceae. The record is from RNAcentral.
CAAAAUAUUGUAUUAUUAUUUAUUUAAACUUCAGUUCUAUGAUAGAGAAUAGGGUGAGGGAUCCUUACUCAAUUUUAACGCCCGAAAGCUAAGCUGUUUACUGCGCCUAUGGGGGAUCCCUAGGUUCCCUGAAUUUUUCUUCGGGAAUUGAAACGCGCUAAUAGUACCAACAAAUGUUCCAAAUAAACUCAAAAUCAGUCCCAGGGCCCACUCAGCCAAUUUUGGAAUUCUGGCACGGCGACUCCGCCGUGCUCCGGCGAGGGGACCGCUGCGGGUAGCGGCAGUCCACCUCAUGUCGGCCAUUUUCGGCCAUUUUUGGCCAAAUUGGUGGAUUUUGCAUCGAUCCCUGUGAGAAAACACGUUAAAGGGACUUGGUUGACCGAAAAAAUACAAAAAAUCAAAACUUACCAGCGGCGGGACUCUCCAAUGCGAUGGCUCCUUUAGCUCAUGUUGCGGUUGGGUGUUUUGCUUUGGUCAACCUGUAGAAGAAAAAAUGGUAAUCACAACAAUGGAAAAAUUACGUGAAACGAGAAUCGAAAAGGGUGAGCUUAACCAGUCUUCGGAGGUGUUUUGUGAAAUUAUCUGCUGCGGCGGCGCCCGGCUUUGCUGGUAUUUUUCGAUCAAUUAACCAGUCUUUUUGCUCUAAUUUGACCACGGGUGAGCUUAAAAUUGAAUUUCGUGCAAAAAGAAAAGUUUUACCUUCUUUGGCAGUUGAAAAGGGUUCUGAUGCGGCGGCGGGUGGCGGCGAUCGGCUCCCCUGCUGCUGGGUCAUCUUCUCCAAUGAGGGGGUCUGGUGGCUAAGGUUAGGAUUUGGUGUGGAUGGAGGUUAUUUAUAUCCGUGCACUUGUGAUCUGAACCGUCUAUCGCGUUUGAUCUGAACCGUCCAAUUGCGAUUAAAUAGGGAGUGAAUUUGGACCGUUCAUCGUGAGUCAAUCUCAGCCAUCCAUCGGGAUCUAAUUUGGGUCAUCCGAUCGUAUUUGAAUCUAGCUGUUCGAUCGCAUUUGAGAGGGAGCGCAUCCAGGUCGUUUGUGCGCGCGGGAAUGAACCUCAACCGUUCGAUCGUGGGCACGCGGAUCGUCCACGUGGUCUCCUGCGUCAAUGUCUCUGCCACUUGGCUCAUCCUGGUUGGUCAAGGCUGCUGACCAGGAGUCUGACGUGGCGAAACUUCUCUAAAUUAUAUUUUGACUCAUGUUUUCUAAUUUUUUUUUCCAAAAAUACCCUCAUAACUCAAAUUUUCACUCAUUUUCCCCAAAAUUAUUUUCA